GAUGAACGCUGGCGGCGUGCCUAAUACAUGCAAGUCGAGCGAACAGACGAGGAGCUUGCUCCUCUGACGUUAGCGGCGGACGGGUGAGUAACACGUGGAUAACCUACCUAUAAGACUGGGAUAACUUCGGGAAACCGGAGCUAAUACCGGAUAAUAUAUUGAACCGCAUGGUUCAAUAGUGAAAGACGGUUUUGCUGUCACUUAUAGAUGGAUCCGCGCCGCAUUAGCUAGUUGGUAAGGUAACGGCUUACCAAGGCAACGAUGCGUAGCCGACCUGAGAGGGUGGUCGGCCACACUGGAACUGAGACACGGUCCAGACUCCUACGGGAGGCAGCAGUAGGGAAUCUUCCGCAAUGGGCGAAAGCCUGACGGAGCAACGCCGCGUGAGUGAUGAAGGUCUUCGGAUCGUAAAACUCUGUUAUUAGGGAAGAACAAAUGUGUAAGUAACUAGGCACGUCUUGACGGUACCGAAUCAGAAAGCCACGGCUAACUACGUG
Molecule: ribosomal RNA, 497 nt
Filed under: uncultured bacterium
Lineage: Bacteria
Description: partial 16S ribosomal RNA
Rfam family: Bacterial small subunit ribosomal RNA
Source: RNAcentral